GACGAACGCUGGCGGCGUGCCUAAUACAUGCAAGUAGAACGCUGAAGAGAGGAGCUUACUCUUCUUGGAUGAGUUGCGAACGGGUGAGUAACGCGUAGGUAACCUGCCUUGUAGCGGGGGAUAACUAUUGGAAACGAUAGCUAAUACCGCAUAACAAUUGAUGACACAUGUCAUUUAUUUGAAAGGGGCAAUUGCUCCACUACAAGAUGGACCUGCGUUGUAUUAGCUAGUAGGUGAGGUAAUGGCUCACCUAGGCGACGAUACAUAGCCGACCUGAGAGGGUGAUCGGCCACACUGGGACUGAGACACGGCCCAGAAUCCUACGGGAGGCAGCCGUAGGGAAUCUUCGGCAAUGGGGGCAACCCUGACCGAGCAACGCCGCGUGAGUGACGAAGGUUUUCGGAUCGUAAAGCUCUGUUGUAAGUCAAGAACGGGUGUGAGAGUGGAACGUUCACACUGUGACGGUAGCUUACCAGAAAGGGACGGCUAACUACGUG
Molecule: ribosomal RNA, 497 nt
Filed under: uncultured bacterium
Lineage: Bacteria
Description: partial 16S ribosomal RNA
Rfam family: Bacterial small subunit ribosomal RNA
Source: RNAcentral